CGUAAAAAAUGGUUUAAGAGAGAAUAUCAGGUGCCAGCUCCUCAUUCAGACAGCUUUAGUCAGAAGUAGUGUGGCCUGAGCGUAGGUUGUUGUUUCUACCUGACUCAUUGACUUAUUUAAUAACUUUAUCAGGUAUGCAUUUUAUCCAUUGCCGAAGACACAAUACAAAGAUGCCAAGAUUGAGAACCUGAAAGAGGGUUAUGCUGCUGAGAACCUGAAAUAAAGUCGUUCCGCUGUGACAGUGCACAAGGAUGCUCCAGCAGACCUCCCAGUGAGAAAUGAAAGCAUCAAGCCCACUUUAAAAAGCUGGCAAGACCUCUUAGGGAGUUCCAGGUGGAUGGGAAGAGGAGCCCAAAUGAGUUCAUCACCAGAAGCAGGCUUCAGAUGAGAAGCUACUGCGGUAAGCCUGUCUCUGCUUCUCUGCUAGUUUUAGAAGUGGCAUUCUUACCAUCCUUGGAACAGUACUCGGUCAGGUAAGUGGAGGAAGCUGCAUACAGCAAACAACAGCUUUAGUUGACCUUGCAGAAGAAGAGUACUGCUGGUCUCCCAUCCCUUCCCUUUGUGUCUAAGACUCUGAAAUUAAAGGCUGAUAGAGUGUGUGGCUUGUUGGAUGCAUGGAGAAAUUCAUCUUGUUUAGCCCACCUGCCACUGGGAAACAUAAAACCAGGUAUCAGAAGAAAAAAAAUA
This 687-nucleotide long non-coding RNA is filed under the name Callithrix jacchus (white-tufted-ear marmoset). Its description in RNAcentral is "lncRNA (ENSCJAG00000063894.2)". The record is from RNAcentral. Lineage: Eukaryota; Metazoa; Chordata; Mammalia; Primates; Cebidae.